Molecule: ribosomal RNA, 230 nt
Filed under: uncultured bacterium
Lineage: Bacteria
Description: partial 16S ribosomal RNA
Rfam family: Bacterial small subunit ribosomal RNA
Source: RNAcentral
UGAGCAAUCUGCCUAGAUGUGGGGGAUAGCCGGCCCAACGGCCGGGUAAUACCGCAUACGCUCUCCUGGUGGCAUCACCGGGUGAGGAAACUUUCGAGGCGUCUAGAGGAGCUCGCGGCCUAUCAGCUAGUUGGUGAGGUAAUGGCUCACCAAGGCUUUGACGGGUAGCUGGUCUGAGAGGAUAGCCAGCCACAUUGGGACUGAGAUACGGCCCAGACUCCGUAACGGGG